AUUGAACGCUGGCGGAAUGCUUUACACAUGCAAGUCGAACGGCAGCACGGGGGCAGCCCUGGUGGCGAGUGGCGAACGGGUGAGUAAUACAUCGGAACGUGCCCGGUCGUGGGGGAUAACGUAGCGAAAGUUACGCUAAUACCGCAUACGAUCUGAGGAUGAAAGCGGGGGACCUUCGGGCCUCGCGCGAUCGGAGCGGCCGAUGUCAGAUUAGGUAGUUGGUGGGGUAAAGGCCUACCAAGCCGACGAUCUGUAGCUGGUCUGAGAGGACGACCAGCCACACUGGGACUGAGACACGGCCCAGACUCCUACGGGAGGCAGCAGUGGGGAAUUUUGGACAAUGAGCGCAAGCCUGAUCCAGCCAUUCCGCGUGCAGGACGAAGGCCUUCGGGUUGUAAACUGCUUUUGUACGGAACGAAAAGGCUCUGGCUAAUACCUGGGGCUCAUGACGGUACCGUAAGAAUAAGCACCGGCUAACUACGUG
Molecule: ribosomal RNA, 484 nt
Filed under: uncultured bacterium
Lineage: Bacteria
Description: partial 16S ribosomal RNA
Rfam family: Bacterial small subunit ribosomal RNA
Source: RNAcentral